This 1077-nucleotide long non-coding RNA is filed under the name Manacus vitellinus (golden-collared manakin). RNAcentral describes it as "lncRNA (ENSMVIG00005005664.1)". Lineage: Eukaryota; Metazoa; Chordata; Aves; Passeriformes; Pipridae. The record is from RNAcentral.
UACCACAUUUUGCCACUCCCCUGUCUCCCCGCCUCGUGCCAGGCCAGGCUGCACCAGCGCUCACCCACUGGCACAGUGGGAUUUGGAAAGGGAGAGGAUCCCCAACACUGUCUGUCCCCUUCACUGGGAGGGGAAUGAGGUGUUUUCACGAGGGCAGAGUGUUCCCUGCCAACACCUGCACAGACCUACCUUAACUCCCAGGAUCAGCAUGGCAGCCUCAUCCCUGUACAUCAAACCCUGCACACCAACACCAAUCCCUGUCCACACAGCAAACCCUGUACAGCAAACCCUGCCAGCACACCAAAACCUGCACACCAACCCCUGCACACCAGUCCCUGUCCAUGCACCAAACCCUGCACACCAAACCCUGCCUGCACACCAAAACCUGCACACCAAACCCUGCACACCAACCCCUGCACACCAGUCCCUGUCCAUGCACCAAACCCUGCACACCAAACCCUGCCAGCACACCAAAACCUGCACACCAGUCCCUGUCCAUGCACCAAACCCUGCACACCAAACCCUGCCUGCACACCAAAUCUCUUCUGUGCACACCAAACCCUGCACAUCAAUCCCUGCCUGCACACCAAACCCUGCCUGUACACCAGUCCUUACACACCAAUCCCUUCCUGCACACCAAACUCUGCCUGCACACCAUACCCUGCACACCAAACCUUGUUUGUUAUACCAAACCCUGCACAUCCAACCUGGCACAUCAACCCUUGCCUGUACACCAAACCCUGUCUGUACACCAAACCCUGCACAGCAAACCUUGCCUGCACACCAUACCCUGCACACCAAACCUUGUUCAUUAUACCAAACCCUGCACACCAAACCCUGCACACCAAACCCUGCCCGCACACCAAGCCCCCCCUGCACACCAAACCUGUCCACAUGCCCUACCUGCACAGGAAGCUCUGCCUGCACACCAAACGGUGCCCGCACACCCAAACUCUCCCCGCGCACCAAACGCUGCCCACGCACGUGCCAACAGCUCCCGCUCACACCCCCCCUCCCUGCGCUCACCCCGCUGACCCCCUGCACCCCCAAACACCCCCACGACCCACCCACCGCCAC